GACGAACGCUGGCGGCGUGCUUAACACAUGCAAGUCGAGCGGUAAGGCCUCUUCGGGGGUACGACGAGCGGCGAACGGGUGAGUAACACGUGGGUGACCUGCCCUCAGCUUCGGGAUAAGCCUGGGAAACUGGGUCGUAAUACCGGAUAGGACUUCGCAUCGCAUGGUGUGGGGUGGAAAGUUCCUGGGCUCUUUGGAGUUUGGGUUCGGUUGGGGAUGGGCCCGCGGCCUAUCAGCUUGUUGGUGGGGUGGAUGGCCUACCAAGGCGACGACGGGUAGCCGGCCUGAGAGGGCGACCGGCCACACUGGGACUGAGACACGGCCCAGACUCCUACGGGAGGCAGCAGUGGGGAAUAUUGCGCAAUGGGCGGAAGCCUGACGCAGCGACGCCGCGUGGGGA
RNAcentral lists this ribosomal RNA (400 nucleotides) under uncultured bacterium. RNAcentral describes it as "bacterial SSU rRNA". It matches the Rfam family "Bacterial small subunit ribosomal RNA", at positions 28 to 407 of the family's 1533-position model. The record is from RNAcentral.